CUCUCGUUCCUCUCUUCACGUUCCCUCUCACUCUCGUUCCUCUCUUCCUCUUCGUCUCAUUGCUCUCUUCACGUUCUUACUCUCAUUCCUCUCACGCAGUGGCUUUUCAUCUCAUUCCUCUCUUCACGUUCCCUCUCACUCUCAUUCCUCUCACGCAGUGGCUCCGCUGCCUCUUUCCUCUCACGCUCCGCUGCCUCUUUCCUCUCACGCUCCGCUGCUUCUUUCCUCUCACACAGUGGCUCCGCUGCCUCUUCCUCGAAAUCUCUGAAGUCUAACCAAAGAUCUUUUCAUUCGCACCCUGUUCGCCAUUGGUGUUGUUGUUCUCUCCUCUGAUACAAAAGAUUAAAACUUUGAUCAUGGGAAACAGCUGCAGAAAACCAGUGGCUCAUGUGUCUUCCACAAGUUUCUUUGGUCAGUUUUAAUUUGGUUGUUUUAAUCGUGUGUGUGUGUUUGCCCUCAUUUUUCUUUAGUGCAAAAUAUAAAUAAGCCUUGAUUUGUUUUUCUUCUGCUUUGAUGCUUUGAAUUUUGAUAUUUGUUUGUCAUGGUGGAUGGUUCCAUUUUUGUGUCUUUGGUUUACACGGAGAGAAGAAGAAGAAGGCGAUGGUUUCCAAAGGGUUCUAAAUAAUGUUGAAUGAUUUUCGCCUUUUAUUUCUUCUUAGAAGAAUCGAGAUGAUGUUGGCUACAAUCAACUCCUCAAGUUUUGGUGUGAGCUGUCACCACAAGCUCGGUUGGAGCUCUUGAGGAUAGACAAACAAACCCUUUUUGAGCAUGCACGAAAAAACAUGUACUGCUCCAGGUGCAAUGGGUUACUUCUUGAAGGAUUUCUGCAGAUUGUUACAUAUGGGAAAUCUUUGCAACAAGAGGGAGCAGUCGUUCAUUUUCCUUGUAGCAGAGCUGGAGGUUUGAAAAAUCAAAAUAACAGUGGAUCAUCCAUCUGUAAUGUGGUCCAGGAUGAAAUCCAAGAUCCAAGUGUCCAUCCUUGGGGUGGUUUGACCACAACGCGUGAGGGUGCACUAACACUUCUGGAUUGCUACUUGUAUUCAAAGUCUCUGAAAGGACUGCAAAUUAAGGUGUUCAACCUAUUCCCUGGACUAUCCGGAUCAACAUUGCAGUUGCCGUUGCAAGAGGAUUAACAUUUUUACAUACCCUGGAUAGAAAUGUUAUAUAUCGUGAUUUAAAGGCAGCCAACAUCCUACUGAUUCGAUAUUUAACACUGAAAGUUUGGCUUGUGAAUUUGUGAAGAAAACAACACCUGUUGUUUCUUUUAUUUUAAGUGUUAAGUAGAAACUUGGCUACACUUAAAUAGUGUAUGUACAUUAAUGUAAUAUUUGGAUUUAAUAUAUAGUUUCAUGUAUAAAUGAUGUAUUAAAUAUUAGACUAUUUAAUAUUUGA
Molecule: RNA transcript, 1392 nt
Organism: Vigna angularis (adzuki bean)
Lineage: Eukaryota; Viridiplantae; Streptophyta; Magnoliopsida; Fabales; Fabaceae
Exons: 5
Source: RefSeq, a predicted model, not a curated record